This 253-nucleotide ribosomal RNA is filed under the name uncultured bacterium. RNAcentral describes it as "partial 16S ribosomal RNA". It matches the Rfam family "Bacterial small subunit ribosomal RNA", at positions 524 to 776 of the family's 1533-position model. The record is from RNAcentral.
GACAGAGGGUGCAAACGUUGUUCGGAAUUACUGGGCGUAAAGCGAGUGUAGGCGGUUUGGAAAGUCGGAUGUGAAAGCCCCGGGCUCAACCCGGGAAGUGCACUCGAUACUCCCAAGCUAGAGUAUCGGAGAGGUUGGCGGAAUUCUCGGUGUAGUGGUGAAAUUCGUAGAUAUCGAGAGGAACACCGGCGGCGAAGGCGGCCAACUGGACGAAUACUGACGCUGAGACUCGAAAGCGUGGGGAGCAAACAGG